CUGAAAACAAUCGUAGGAAGAUGAGACAAUAAGGAAUCUAUGGCCCCUUUCCUUCCUCUUUCUUUUCUGGAAACAUUGAAGAUAUGAACAAGUUCAUGCAGGAGGAGAAGAGCCCAACAGGGCCGGUAUCACAUGAUUACUCUAUCUCUCCACAUCUUGAUCACUGGAGGAAGAAUUAUGGGCCAGUGUAUAUGUACGCUAUGGGAAAUGCACCUAUAAAUAUAAUGCAUGUAGAAAGCUUCUGUAGAAAGUUUCUGUUGCGACCAUUCUUGUGAUUGGGUGAUCAGCUUCUGUUGGAGAUGUAGAAAGAUUCUAGAUUGAAAUUUCUUCAAUGAGCUUCUGAGGUACUAUCAUGCCGAUUGGAGAAGUAUUAGUGGUGGAUGUUUUGAUAAGUUUGGAUUGAUCUCUGAUGUUGCUUAUAAUUAAUCAUUUGAUUUUAAUUGACAUAUAUAUUCUUUUUGGGAAUUUGUGUUGUUUAUGAAGGAUUUGUUUGUUGAUAUUAUUGAUUAAAUCAAAUUUCGUUGUGAA
Long non-coding RNA from Dioscorea cayenensis subsp. rotundata (Guinea yam), 528 nucleotides. RefSeq lists it as uncharacterized. The transcript has 3 exons. NCBI's taxonomy places the organism in Eukaryota, Viridiplantae, Streptophyta, Magnoliopsida, Dioscoreales, Dioscoreaceae. The record is from RefSeq and is a predicted model, not a curated record.